AUUCCAGCUCCAAUAGCGUAUACUAAAGUUGUUGCAGUUAAAAAGCUCGUAGUUGAAUUUCUGGUCGUGGCGACCGGUCCGCCCCUCACGGGGUGUGCACCUGGUCUCUGCGUCCAUCCUCGGGGAGAGCGCGUCUGGCAUUCAGUUGUCGGGCGCGGGAUCCUCGUCAUUUACUGUGAGCAAAAUAGAGUGUUCAAAGCAGGCUUAGGCCGUUGAAUACAUUAGCAUGGAAUAAUAAGAUAGGACCUUGGUCUAUUUUGUUGGUUUGCAUUCCAAGGUAAUGAUUAAUAGGGAUAGUUGGGGGUAUUCGUAUUCAAUUGUCAGAGGUGAAAUUCUUGGAUUUAUGGAAGACGAACUACUGCGAAAGCAUUUACCAAGGAUGUUUUCAUCA
This 391-nucleotide ribosomal RNA is filed under the name Chrysophyceae sp. Its description in RNAcentral is "partial small subunit ribosomal RNA". It matches the Rfam family "Eukaryotic small subunit ribosomal RNA", at positions 582 to 975 of the family's 1831-position model. Lineage: Eukaryota; Chrysophyceae. The record is from RNAcentral.